Molecule: ribosomal RNA, 538 nt
Filed under: Colletotrichum cf. siamense BDS-2013
Lineage: Eukaryota; Fungi; Ascomycota; Sordariomycetes; Glomerellales; Glomerellaceae
Description: eukaryotic LSU rRNA
Rfam family: 5.8S ribosomal RNA (bases 183-336)
Source: RNAcentral
GGGAUCAUUACUGAGUUUACGCUCUACAACCCUUUGUGAACAUACCUAUAACUGUUGCUUCGGCGGGUAGGGUCUCCGUGACCCUCCCGGCCUCCCGCCCCCGGGCGGGUCGGCGCCCGCCGGAGGAUAACCAAACUCUGAUUUAACGACGUUUCUUCUGAGUGGUACAAGCAAAUAAUCAAAACUUUUAACAACGGAUCUCUUGGUUCUGGCAUCGAUGAAGAACGCAGCGAAAUGCGAUAAGUAAUGUGAAUUGCAGAAUUCAGUGAAUCAUCGAAUCUUUGAACGCACAUUGCGCCCGCCAGCAUUCUGGCGGGCAUGCCUGUUCGAGCGUCAUUUCAACCCUCAAGCUCUGCUUGGUGUUGGGGCCCUACAGCUGAUGUAGGCCCUCAAAGGUAGUGGCGGACCCUCCCGGAGCCUCCUUUGCGUAGUAACUUUACGUCUCGCACUGGGAUCCGGAGGGACUCUUGCCGUAAAACCCCCAAUUUUCCAAAGGUUGACCUCGGAUCAGGUAGGAAUACCCGCUGAACUUAAGCAU